This 2903-nucleotide ribosomal RNA is filed under the name Escherichia albertii. RNAcentral describes it as "23S ribosomal RNA". It matches the Rfam family "Bacterial large subunit ribosomal RNA". Lineage: Bacteria; Pseudomonadati; Pseudomonadota; Gammaproteobacteria; Enterobacterales; Enterobacteriaceae. The record is from RNAcentral.
GGUUAAGCGACUAAGCGUACACGGUGGAUGCCCUGGCAGUCAGAGGCGAUGAAGGACGUGCUAAUCUGCGAAAAGCGUCGGUAAGGUGAUAUGAACCGUUAUAACCGGCGAUGUCCGAAUGGGGAAACCCAGUGUGUUCCGACACACUAUCAUUAACUGAAUCCAUAGGUUAAUGAGGCGAACCGGGGGAACUGAAACAUCUAAGUACCCCGAGGAAAAGAAAUCAACCGAGAUUCCCCCAGUAGCGGCGAGCGAACGGGGAGGAGCCCAGAGCCUGAAUCAGUGUGUGUGUUAGUGGAAGCGUCUGGAAAGGCGCGCGAUACAGGGUGACAGCCCCGUACACAAAAAUGCACAUAUUGUGAGCUCGAUGAGUAGGGCGGGACACGUGGUAUCCUGUCUGAAUAUGGGGGGACCAUCCUCCAAGGCUAAAUACUCCUGACUGACCGAUAGUGAACCAGUACCGUGAGGGAAAGGCGAAAAGAACCCCGGCGAGGGGAGUGAAAAAGAACCUGAAACCGUGUACGUACAAGCAGUGGGAGCCUCUUUAUGGGGUGACUGCGUACCUUUUGUAUAAUGGGUCAGCGACUUAUAUUCUGUAGCAAGGUUAACCGAAUAGGGGAGCCGGAGGGAAACCGAGUCUUAACUGGGCGUUAAGUUGCAGGGUAUAGACCCGAAACCCGGUGAUCUAGCCAUGGGCAGGUUGAAGGUUGGGUAACACUAACUGGAGGACCGAACCGACUAAUGUUGAAAAAUUAGCGGAUGACUUGUGGCUGGGGGUGAAAGGCCAAUCAAACCGGGAGAUAGCUGGUUCUCCCCGAAAGCUAUUUAGGUAGCGCCUCGUGAAUUCAUCUCCGGGGGUAGAGCACUGUUUCGGCAAGGGGGUCAUCCCGACUUACCAACCCGAUGCAAACUGCGAAUACCGGAGAAUGUUAUCACGGGAGACACACGGCGGGUGCUAACGUCCGUCGUGAAGAGGGAAACAACCCAGACCGCCAGCUAAGGUCCCAAAGUCAUGGUUAAGUGGGAAACGAUGUGGGAAGGCCCAGACAGCCAGGAUGUUGGCUUAGAAGCAGCCAUCAUUUAAAGAAAGCGUAAUAGCUCACUGGUCGAGUCGGCCUGCGCGGAAGAUGUAACGGGGCUAAACCAUGCACCGAAGCUGCGGCAGCGACGCUGAUGCGUUGUUGGGUAGGGGAGCGUUCUGUAAGCCUGUGAAGGUGUGCUGUGAGGCAUGCUGGAGGUAUCAGAAGUGCGAAUGCUGACAUAAGUAACGAUAAAGCGGGUGAAAAGCCCGCUCGCCGGAAGACCAAGGGUUCCUGUCCAACGUUAAUCGGGGCAGGGUGAGUCGACCCCUAAGGCGAGGCCGAAAGGCGUAGUCGAUGGGAAACAGGUUAAUAUUCCUGUACUUGGUGUUACUGCGAAGGGGGGACGGAGAAGGCUAUGUUGGCCGGGCGACGGUUGUCCCGGUUUAAGCGUGUAGGCUGAUUUUCCAGGCAAAUCCGGAGAAUCAAGGCUGAGGCGUGAUGACGAGGCACUACGGUGCUGAAGCAACAAAUGCCCUGCUUCCAGGAAAAGCCUCUAAGCAUCAGGUAACAUCAAAUCGUACCCCAAACCGACACAGGUGGUCAGGUAGAGAAUACCAAGGCGCUUGAGAGAACUCGGGUGAAGGAACUAGGCAAAAUGGUGCCGUAACUUCGGGAGAAGGCACGCUGAUAUGUAGGUGAAGCGACUUGCUCGUGGAGCUGAAAUCAGUCGAAGAUACCAGCUGGCUGCAACUGUUUAUUAAAAACACAGCACUGUGCAAACACGAAAGUGGACGUAUACGGUGUGACGCCUGCCCGGUGCCGGAAGGUUAAUUGAUGGGGUCAGCGCAAGCGAAGCUCUUGAUCGAAGCCCCGGUAAACGGCGGCCGUAACUAUAACGGUCCUAAGGUAGCGAAAUUCCUUGUCGGGUAAGUUCCGACCUGCACGAAUGGCGUAAUGAUGGCCAGGCUGUCUCCACCCGAGACUCAGUGAAAUUGAACUCGCUGUGAAGAUGCAGUGUACCCGCGGCAAGACGGAAAGACCCCGUGAACCUUUACUAUAGCUUGACACUGAACACUGGUCCUUGAUGUGUAGGAUAGGUGGGAGGCUUUGAAGUGUGGACGCCAGUCUGCAUGGAGCCGUCCUUGAAAUACCACCCUUUAAUGGCUGGUGUUCUAACGUUGGCCCCUUACCGGGGUUGCGGACAGUGUCUGGUGGGUAGUUUGACUGGGGCGGUCUCCUCCUAAAGAGUAACGGAGGAGCACGAAGGUUGGCUAAUCCUGGUCGGACAUCAGGAGGUUAGUGCAAUGGCAUAAGCCAGCUUGACUGCGAGCGUGACGGCGCGAGCAGGUGCGAAAGCAGGUCAUAGUGAUCCGGUGGUUCUGAAUGGAAGGGCCAUCGCUCAACGGAUAAAAGGUACUCCGGGGAUAACAGGCUGAUACCGCCCAAGAGUUCAUAUCGACGGCGGUGUUUGGCACCUCGAUGUCGGCUCAUCACAUCCUGGGGCUGAAGUAGGUCCCAAGGGUAUGGCUGUUCGCCAUUUAAAGUGGUACGCGAGCUGGGUUUAGAACGUCGUGAGACAGUUCGGUCCCUAUCUGCCGUGGGCGCUGGAGAACUGAGGGGGGCUGCUCCUAGUACGAGAGGACCGGAGUGGACGCAUCACUGGUGUUCGGGUUGUCAUGCCAAUGGCACUGCCCGGUAGCUAAAUGCGGAAGAGAUAAGUGCUGAAAGCAUCUAAGCACGAAACUUGCCCCGAGAUGAGUUCUCCCUGAGACUUUAAGUCUCCUGAAGGAACGUUGAAGACGACGACGUUGAUAGGCCGGGUGUGUAAGCGCAGCGAUGCGUUGAGCUAACCGGUACUAAUGAACCGUGAGGCUUAACCUU